This 232-nucleotide ribosomal RNA is filed under the name uncultured bacterium. Its description in RNAcentral is "partial 16S ribosomal RNA". It matches the Rfam family "Bacterial small subunit ribosomal RNA", at positions 100 to 334 of the family's 1533-position model. The record is from RNAcentral.
CGGGACGGGUGAGUAAUGUCUGGGAAACUGCCUGAUGGAGGGGGAUAACUACUGGAAACGGUAGCUAUACCGCAUAACGUCGCAAGACCAAAGAGGGGGACCUUCGGGCCUCUUGCCAUCGGAUGUGCCCAGAUGGGAUUAGCUAGUAGGUGGGGUAACGGCUCACCUAGGCGACGAUCCCUAGCUGGUCUGAGAGGAUGACCAGCCACACUGGAACUGAGACACGGUCCAG